UAGGCGUAAAUGAUGCGAGUUAAGUGUGGGGGCGAUCUACGAGAUGGCCCUGUGCUGUAGGGUAGCCGUUAAACUCGCUGCCUGGGGAGUACGGUCGCAAGGCUGAAACUUAAAGGAAUUGGCCGGGGGGAGGCACCCACAAGAGGUGGAGGCUGCGGUUCAAUUGGACUCAACGCCGGAAACUCAUCGGGAGCGACAGCAGUAUGAUUGCCAGGUUGAUGACCUUGCUUGACAAGCUGAGAGGUGGUGCAUGGCGUAGUCGUGU
This 265-nucleotide ribosomal RNA is filed under the name uncultured archaeon. Its description in RNAcentral is "partial 16S ribosomal RNA". It matches the Rfam family "Archaeal small subunit ribosomal RNA", at positions 748 to 1009 of the family's 1478-position model. The record is from RNAcentral.